Molecule: ribosomal RNA, 429 nt
Filed under: Gemmatimonadota bacterium
Lineage: Bacteria; Pseudomonadati; Gemmatimonadota
Description: Gemmatimonadetes bacterium partial 16S ribosomal RNA
Rfam family: Bacterial small subunit ribosomal RNA
Source: RNAcentral
UAGGGAAUCUUCGGCAAUGGACGAAAGUCUGACCGAGCAACGCCGCGCGAGUGAAGAAGGUUUUCGGAUCGUAAAACUCUGUUGUUAGAGAAGAACAAGGACGUUAGUAACUGAACGUCCCCUGACGGUAUCUAACCAGAAAGCCACGGCUAACUACGUGCCAGCAGCCGCGGUAAUACGUAGGUGGCAAGCGUUGUCCGGAUUUAUUGGGCGUAAAGCGAGCGCAGGCGGUUUCUUAAGUCUGAUGUGAAAGCCCCCGGCUCAACCGGGGAGGGUCAUUGGAAACUGGGAGACUUGAGUGCGGAAGAGGAGAGUGGAAUUCCAUGUGUAGCGGUGAAAUGCGUAGAUAUAUGGAGGAACACCAGUGGCGAAGGCGGCUCUCUGGUCUGUAACUGACGCUGAGGCUCGAAAGCGUGGGGAGCAAACAGG